CACAUGCAAGUCGAACGGCAGCGCGGGGCAACCUGGCGGCGAGUGGCGAACGGGUGAGUAAUAUAUCGGAACGUACCCUGGAGUGGGGGAUAACGUAGCGAAAGUUACGCUAAUACCGCAUACGAUCUAAGGAUGAAAGUGGGGGAUCGCAAGACCCCAUGCUCCUGGAGCGGCCGAUAUCUGAUUAGCUAGUUGGUGGGGUAAAGGCCUACCAAGGCAUCGAUCAGUAGCUGGUCUGAGAGGACGACCAGCCACACUGGAACUGAGACACGGUCCAGACUCCUACGGGAGGCAGCAGUGGGGAAUUUUGGACAAUGGGCGAAAGCCUGAUCCAGCAAUGCCGCGUGAGUGAAGAAGGCCUUCGGGUUGUAAAGCUCUUUUGUCAGGGAAGAAACGGUGAGGGCUAAUAUCCCUUGCUAAUGACGGUACCUGAAGAAUAAGCACCGGCUAACUACGUGCCAGCAGCCGCGGUAAUACGUAGGGUGCAAGCGUUAAUCGGAAUUACUGGGCGUAAAGCGUGCGCAGGCGGUUUUGUAAGUCUGUCGUGAAAUCCCCGGGCUCAACCUGGGAAUUGCGAUGGAGACUGCAAGGCUAGAAUCUGGCAGAGGGGGGUAGAAUUCCACGUGUAGCAGUGAAAUGCGUAGAGAUGUGGAGGAACACCGAUGGCGAAGGCAGCCCCCUGGGUCAAGAUUGACGCUCAUGCACGAAAGCGUGGGGAGCAAACAGGAUUAGAUACCCUGGUAGUCCACGCCCUAAACGAUGUCUACUAGUUGUCGGGUUUUAAUUAACUUGGUAACGCAGCUAACGCGUGAAGUAGACCGCCUGGGGAGUACGGUCGCAAGAUUAAAACUCAAAGGAAUUGACGGGGACCCGCACAAGCGGUGGAUGAUGUGGAUUAAUUCGAUGCAACGCGAAAAAACCUUACCUACCCUUGACAUGUACGGAAGCCACGAGAGAUCGAGGUGUGCUCGAAAGAGAGCCGUAACAC
RNAcentral lists this ribosomal RNA (988 nucleotides) under uncultured bacterium. Its description in RNAcentral is "bacterial SSU rRNA". It matches the Rfam family "Bacterial small subunit ribosomal RNA", at positions 52 to 1035 of the family's 1533-position model. The record is from RNAcentral.